This is a long non-coding RNA of Biomphalaria glabrata, 514 nucleotides long. RefSeq lists it as uncharacterized. Lineage: Eukaryota; Metazoa; Mollusca; Gastropoda; Planorbidae. The transcript is spliced from 2 exons. The record is from RefSeq and is a predicted model, not a curated record.
GACAAUAUGGACAAUUGUUUUUUCAAUUUGUAUAGCUUAAUUAACUUAAUAGCCUAGAUAGAAAUUGUAACACAGCCGUAGGCAUUGUCAUUCGAGAUUCAAAUGCAUGCAAAGUUUGAGUAAAACAGUCACUAGAGUUGAAGCCGAAUUAUAGACUAAACCCUUCAGUAAGUGUUUAUGUUCAAUAAAGGGGAUGUAACUCUAUUCCCAGAUACCACUUUUCAUUCCUAUUCUGAUGUUCCUGGUGAACGUGUACCUGUUUAUCGCCCCUAUCAUCAUCCAACCCAAGCUAGAGUACGUCUACGUGGCAGCCAGUGUGCUGGGCGCUUCCUUCUUGUUGUAUAUUCCCUUUAUCUAUUUUGGCCUUAAGAUGCCUUUAUACGAUAACUUUGUCACGUGGUUGCAACUGAUCUUUAAAAUUUGUCCCCCGACUCAGAAUACUGAUUUGUAAAAAUCAUCACAUCAUAGACUAGCCGCCUUCGUUGUGCAUAUAAAACCUAUUGUACAUAAUGAC